This 448-nucleotide long non-coding RNA is filed under the name Lathyrus oleraceus (garden pea). Its description in RNAcentral is "Pisum sativum (pea) long non-coding RNA (PSAT_LNC031788)". Lineage: Eukaryota; Viridiplantae; Streptophyta; Magnoliopsida; Fabales; Fabaceae. The record is from RNAcentral.
AAAUUUUGUUUAUUAGAGAUGAUGAUGCUUGCUGUUGUUUUCACAACUUUAACUUCCAUCCAGAAUUUUCUCAAGAUUUUGUUUGGUCUGUUGUUAGUUAAUGUUGCAUAAUGAUGUUGUGUAGCUGCCAUAUGGUUUGCCAUGAUAGAAUAUCAAUGGAUGAUUACAUGAUGAUGAUUGUUGAAUGCUGUUGUUUCUAAAACCAUAGAACAGAAUUCUCCCCAGAUUUUUCCAUGAGUAUGCUUGUUCUAAUGUUGGUUAUUGUAUGCCCAAUGAUGUUGUUCCGUGCCAUGAUUAAUCUUUGAUGCUGUGAUUGUUGUUCAUGAACAUGAGUUUGAAGUUGCCAAGCCAUGCUUAAACCCUAGGGUUUAGAAAACUCAGAAAAUUUGAAUGUUAUUGGCCGGGUUACUGUUUGAUUGGCUGAGAGCCAAUCAAAACAUUUCGUUUU